This 2414-nucleotide ribosomal RNA is filed under the name Escherichia coli. Its description in RNAcentral is "partial 23S ribosomal RNA". It matches the Rfam family "Bacterial large subunit ribosomal RNA", at positions 1 to 2431 of the family's 2925-position model. Lineage: Bacteria; Pseudomonadati; Pseudomonadota; Gammaproteobacteria; Enterobacterales; Enterobacteriaceae. The record is from RNAcentral.
GGGUUGUGAGGUUAAGCGACUAAGCGUACACGGUGGAUGCCCUGGCAGUCAGAGGCGAUGAAGGACGUGCUAAUCUGCGAUAAGCGUCGGUAAGGUGAUAUGAACCGUUAUAACCGGCGAUUUCCGAAUGGGGAAACCCAGUGUGAUUCGUCACACUAUCAUUAACUGAAUCCAUAGGUUAAUGAGGCGAACCGGGGGAACUGAAACAUCUAAGUACCCCGAGGAAAAGAAAUCAACCGAGAUUCCCCCAGUAGCGGCGAGCGAACGGGGAGCAGCCCAGAGCCUGAAUCAGUGUGUGUGUUAGUGGAAGCGUCUGGAAAGGCGCGCGAUACAGGGUGACAGCCCCGUACACAAAAAUGCACAUACUGUGAGCUCGAUGAGUAGGGCGGGACACGUGGUAUCCUGUCUGAAUAUGGGGGGACCAUCCUCCAAGGCUAAAUACUCCUGACUGACCGAUAGUGAACCAGUACCGUGAGGGAAAGGCGAAAAGAACCCCGGCGAGGGGAGUGAAAAAGAACCUGAAACCGUGUACGUACAAGCAGUGGGAGCACGCUUAGGCGUGUGACUGCGUACCUUUUGUAUAAUGGGUCAGCGACUUAUAUUCUGUAGCAAGGUUAACCGAAUAGGGGAGCCGAAGGGAAACCGAGUCUUAACUGGGCGUUAAGUUGCAGGGUAUAGACCCGAAACCCGGUGAUCUAGCCAUGGGCAGGUUGAAGGUUGGGUAACACUAACUGGAGGACCGAACCGACUAAUGUUGAAAAAUUAGCGGAUGACUUGUGGCUGGGGGUGAAAGGCCAAUCAAACCGGGAGAUAGCUGGUUCUCCCCGAAAGCUAUUUAGGUAGCGCCUCGUGAAUUCAUCUCCGGGGGUAGAGCACUGUUUCGGCAAGGGGGUCAUCCCGACUUACCAACCCGAUGCAAACUGCGAAUACCGGAGAAUGUUAUCACGGGAGACACACGGCGGGUGCUAACGUCCGUCGUGAAGAGGGAAACAACCCAGACCGCCAGCUAAGGUCCCAAAGUCAUGGUUAAGUGGGAAACGAUGUGGGAAGGCCCAGACAGCCAGGAUGUUGGCUUAGAAGCAGCCAUCAUUUAAAGAAAGCGUAAUAGCUCACUGGUCGAGUCGGCCUGCGCGGAAGAUGUAACGGGGCUAAACCAUGCACCGAAGCUGCGGCAGCGACGCUGAUGCGUUGUUGGGUAGGGGAGCGUUCUGUAAGCCUGUGAAGGUGUGCUGUGAGGCAUGCUGGAGGUAUCAGAAGUGCGAAUGCUGACAUAAGUAACGAUAAAGCGGGUGAAAAGCCCGCUCGCCGGAAGACCAAGGGUUCCUGUCCAACGUUAAUCGGGGCAGGGUGAGUCGACCCCUAAGGCGAGGCCGAAAGGCGUAGUCGAUGGGAAACAGGUUAAUAUUCCUGUACUUGGUGUUACUGCGAAGGGGGGACGGAGAAGGCUAUGUUGGCCGGGCGACGGUUGUCCCGGUUUAAGCGUGUAGGCUGGUUUUCCAGGCAAAUCCGGAAAAUCAAGGCUGAGGCGUGAUGACGAGGCACUACGGUGCUGAAGCAACAAAUGCCCUGCUUCCAGGAAAAGCCUCUAAGCAUCAGGUAACAUCAAAUCGUACCCCAAACCGACACAGGUGGUCAGGUAGAGAAUACCAAGGCGCUUGAGAGAACUCGGGUGAAGGAACUAGGCAAAAUGGUGCCGUAACUUCGGGAGAAGGCACGCUGAUAUGUAGGUGAAGCGACUUGCUCGUGGAGCUGAAAUCAGUCGAAGAUACCAGCUGGCUGCAACUGUUUAUUAAAAACACAGCACUGUGCAAACACGAAAGUGGACGUAUACGGUGUGACGCCUGCCCGGUGCCGGAAGGUUAAUUGAUGGGGUCAGCGCAAGCGAAGCUCUUGAUCGAAGCCCCGGUAAACGGCGGCCGUAACUAUAACGGUCCUAAGGUAGCGAAAUUCCUUGUCGGGUAAGUUCCGACCUGCACGAAUGGCGUAAUGAUGGCCAGGCUGUCUCCACCCGAGACUCAGUGAAAUUGAACUCGCUGUGAAGAUGCAGUGUACCCGCGGCAAGACGGAAAGACCCCGUGAACCUUUACUAUAGCUUGACACUGAACAUUGAGCCUUGAUGUGUAGGAUAGGUGGGAGGCUUUGAAGUGUGGACGCCAGUCUGCAUGGAGCCGGCCUUGAAAUACCACCCUUUAAUGUUUGAUGUUCUAACGUUGACCCGUGAUCCGGGUUGCGGACAGUGUCUGGUGGGUAGUUUGACUGGGGCGGUCUCCUCCUAAAGAGUAACGGAGGAGCACGAAGGUUGGCUAAUCCUGGUCGGACAUCAGGAGGUUAGUGCAAUGGCAUAAGCCAGCUUGACUGCGAGCGUGACGGCGCGAGCAGGUGCGAAAGCAGGUCAUAGUGAUCCGGUGGUUCUG